This 467-nucleotide ribosomal RNA is filed under the name uncultured bacterium. Its description in RNAcentral is "partial 16S ribosomal RNA". It matches the Rfam family "Bacterial small subunit ribosomal RNA", at positions 28 to 506 of the family's 1533-position model. The record is from RNAcentral.
GACGAACGCUGGCGGCGUGCUUAACACAUGCAAGUCGAACGGAAAGGCCCUGCUUUUGUGGGGUGCUCGAGUGGCGAACGGGUGAGUAACACGUGAGUAACCUGCCCUUGACUUUGGGAUAACUUCAGGAAACUGGGGCUAAUACCGGAUAGGAGCUCCUGCUGCCUGGUGGGGGUUGGAAAGUUUCGGCGGUUGGGGAUGGACUCGCGGCUUAUCAGCUUGGUGGUGGGGUAGUGGCUUACCAAGGCUUUGACGGGUAGCCGGCCUGAGAGGGUGACCGGCCACAUUGGGUCUGAGAUACGGCCCAGACUCCUACGGGAAGCAGCAGUGGGGAUUAUUGCACAAUGGGCGGAAUCAUGAUGCAGCAACGCCGCGUGCGGGAUGACGGCCUUCGGGUAGUAAACCGCUUUCGCCUGUGACGAAGCGUGAGUGACGGGAAUGGGUAAAGAAGCACCGGCUAACUACGU